Molecule: ribosomal RNA, 303 nt
Filed under: Triticum aestivum (bread wheat)
Lineage: Eukaryota; Viridiplantae; Streptophyta; Magnoliopsida; Poales; Poaceae
Description: partial small subunit ribosomal RNA
Source: RNAcentral
AUGAUGAAGAUACAGCCCGCUUGUUGGGAUGAAUGCCAGCAGGGGCUUCCCAGGGAUGCUUGGCAGCAUAGACACUCUUUCUUCGGCAUGGCCGAAUCGCACAAUGGUAUCAACGUGCUUCAACGCUCGCCGGUGUUUGCAAGGGUUGCCGGAGGCAACUGCUCGCCGGUGAAUGUUAACAUCAAUGACCACAACUACAACAAAGGGUACUGCCGAGCUGACGGUAUCUAUUCUCAGUGGACCACUAUUGUGAAGACAAUCCCAAACCUUGUCGGAGAGAAGAGGAGGAGAUUUGCCCAAUAG